Molecule: long non-coding RNA, 412 nt
Organism: Vicia villosa (hairy vetch)
Lineage: Eukaryota; Viridiplantae; Streptophyta; Magnoliopsida; Fabales; Fabaceae
Exons: 4
Source: RefSeq, a predicted model, not a curated record
UUGUACAAGAAACCGAGUUACCUGCCAACAAGGUAAAGCUUUCAUUGUAUAUUCGUUAGUUUUUCUACUAAUGAUGCAGAAACAAUUGAAGACUGACAAUGAUGUUGAGCUCUAUGCACUUGGAACGGCUAUUCCAACUAUAUAAUAAUCAUGUCUGAGAUUUUGAAGCGCAAUGGAUGGGCAAUUCAGAAAAACAUUGAGCAGCAAACCGCCUGGAUCUACAAAUGAUUCGACUCUGCGUUAUGAAAAUACGGCAAAGAAUCAGAGUGCUGGUUCAAGCAGAGAUUUCCCACCAUCUUAACCUCGAGAAUCGUCUAUUAUUGAUGAUAACUUUACUCCCCCUCCACCUUCACUAGAUAAAUUAGAAGUUGAUUUGUGCAUUGUUAGAAAGUCAAUUAUGGCCAUCGAGGAG